GAUGAACGCUAGCGAUAGGCCUAACACAUGCAAGUCGAGGGGCAUCACAUGAAGUAGCAAUACGGAUGGUGGCGACCGGCGCACGGGUGAGUAACACGUAUGCAACCUGCCUUCAACAAGGGGAUAACCCGUUGAAAAACGGACUAAUACCCUAUAAUACAGGGGUCCCGCAUGGGGAUAUUUGUUAAAGAUUGAUCGGUUGAAGAUGGGCAUGCGUUCCAUUAGCUGGUUGGUGAGGUAACGGCUCACCAAGGCAACGAUGGAUAGGGGAACUGAGAGGUUUAUCCCCCACACUGGUACUGAGACACGGACCAGACUCCUACGGGAGGCAGCAGUGAGGAAUAUUGGUCAAUGGACGCAAGUCUGAACCAGCCACGUCGCGUGAAGGAAGACGG
Molecule: ribosomal RNA, 395 nt
Filed under: uncultured bacterium
Lineage: Bacteria
Description: bacterial SSU rRNA
Rfam family: Bacterial small subunit ribosomal RNA
Source: RNAcentral